Molecule: ribosomal RNA, 2906 nt
Filed under: Salmonella enterica
Lineage: Bacteria; Pseudomonadati; Pseudomonadota; Gammaproteobacteria; Enterobacterales; Enterobacteriaceae
Description: 23S ribosomal RNA
Rfam family: Bacterial large subunit ribosomal RNA
Source: RNAcentral
GGUUAAGCGACUAAGCGUACACGGUGGAUGCCCUGGCAGUCAGAGGCGAUGAAGGGCGUGCUAAUCUGCGAUAAGCGCCGGUAAGGUGAUAUGAACCGUUAUAACCGGCGAUACCCGAAUGGGGAAACCCAGUGUGACUCGUCACACUAUCAUUAACUGAAUCCAUAGGUUAAUGAGGCGAACCGGGGAACUGAAACAUCUAAGUACCCCGAGGAAAAGAAAUCAACCGAGAUUCCCCCAGUAGCGGCGAGCGAACGGGGAGGAGCCCAGAGCCUGAAUCAGCAUGUGUGUUAGUGGAAGCGUCUGGAAAGGCGCGCGAUACAGGGUGACAGCCCCGUACACAAAAGCGCAUGUGCUGUGAGCUCGAUGAGUAGGGCGGGACACGUGGUAUCCUGUCUGAAUAUGGGGGACCAUCCUCCAAGGCUAAAUACUCCUGACUGACCGAUAGUGAACCAGUACCGUGAGGGAAAGGCGAAAAAGAACCCCGGCGAGGGGAGUGAAAAAGAACCUGAAACCGUGUACGUACAAGCAGUGGGAGCACAGGUUUACCUGUGUGACUGCGUACCUUUUGUAUAAUGGGUCAGCGACUUAUAUUCUGUAGCAAGGUUAACCGAAUAGGGGAGCCGGAGGGAAACCGAGUCUUAAUUGGGCGUUAAGUUGCAGGGUAUAGACCCGAAACCCGGUGAUCUAGCCAUGGGCAGGUUGAAGGUUGGGUAACACUAACUGGAGGACCGAACCGACUAAUGUUGAAAAAUUAGCGGAUGACCUGUGGCUGGGGGUGAAAGGCCAAUCAAACCGGGAGAUAGCUGGUUCUCCCCGAAAGCUAUUUAGGUAGCGCCUCGUGAAUUCAUCUCCGGGGGUAGAGCACUGUUUCGGCUAGGGGGCCAUCCCGGCUUACCAACCCGAUGCAAACUGCGAAUACCGGAGAAUGUUAUCACGGGAGACACACGGCGGGUGCUAACGUCCGUCGUGAAGAGGGAAACAACCCAGACCGCCAGCUAAGGUCCCAAAGUCAUGGUUAAGUGGGAAACGAUGUGGGAAGGCCCAGACAGCCAGGAUGUUGGCUUAGAAGCAGCCAUCAUUUAAAGAAAGCGUAAUAGCUCACUGGUCGAGUCGGCCUGCGCGGAAGAUGUAACGGGGCUAAACCAUGCACCGAAGCUGCGGCAGCGACACUGUGUGUUGUUGGGUAGGGGAGCGUUCUGUAAGCCUGUGAAGGUGGCCUGUGAGGGUUGCUGGAGGUAUCAGAAGUGCGAAUGCUGACAUAAGUAACGAUAAAGCGGGUGAAAAGCCCGCUCGCCGGAAGACCAAGGGUUCCUGUCCAACGUUAAUCGGGGCAGGGUGAGUCGACCCCUAAGGCGAGGCCGAAAGGCGUAGUCGAUGGGAAACAGGUUAAUAUUCCUGUACUUGGUGUUACUGCGAAGGGGGGACGGAGAAGGCUAUGUUGGCCGGGCGACGGUUGUCCCGGUUUAAGCGUGUAGGUGUGUGUUCCAGGUAAAUCCGGUUCACUUUAACACUGAGGCGUGAUGACGAGGCACUACGGUGCUGAAGCAACAAAUGCCCUGCUUCCAGGAAAAGCCUCUAAGCAUCAGGUAACAUCAAAUCGUACCCCAAACCGACACAGGUGGUCAGGUAGAGAAUACCAAGGCGCUUGAGAGAACUCGGGUGAAGGAACUAGGCAAAAUGGUGCCGUAACUUCGGGAGAAGGCACGCUGACACGUAGGUGAAGUGAUUUACUCAUGGAGCUGAAGUCAGUCGAAGAUACCAGCUGGCUGCAACUGUUUAUUAAAAACACAGCACUGUGCAAACACGAAAGUGGACGUAUACGGUGUGACGCCUGCCCGGUGCCGGAAGGUUAAUUGAUGGGGUCAGCGCAAGCGAAGCUCCUGAUCGAAGCCCCGGUAAACGGCGGCCGUAACUAUAACGGUCCUAAGGUAGCGAAAUUCCUUGUCGGGUAAGUUCCGACCUGCACGAAUGGCGUAAUGAUGGCCAGGCUGUCUCCACCCGAGACUCAGUGAAAUUGAACUCGCUGUGAAGAUGCAGUGUACCCGCGGCAAGACGGAAAGACCCCGUGAACCUUUACUAUAGCUUGACACUGAACAUUGAGCCUUGAUGUGUAGGAUAGGUGGGAGGCUUUGAAGUGUGGACGCCAGUCUGCAUGGAGCCGACCUUGAAAUACCACCCUUUAAUGUUUGAUGUUCUAACGUGGACCCGUAAUCCGGGUUGCGGACAGUGUCUGGUGGGUAGUUUGACUGGGGCGGUCUCCUCCUAAAGAGUAACGGAGGAGCACGAAGGUUGGCUAAUCUCGGUCGGACAUCAGGAGGUUAGUGCAAUGGCAUAAGCCAGCUUGACUGCGAGCGUGACGGCGCGAGCAGGUGCGAAAGCAGGUCAUAGUGAUCCGGUGGUUCUGAAUGGAAGGGCCAUCGCUCAACGGAUAAAAGGUACUCCGGGGAUAACAGGCUGAUACCGCCCAAGAGUUCAUAUCGACGGCGGUGUUUGGCACCUCGAUGUCGGCUCAUCACAUCCUGGGGCUGAAGUAGGUCCCAAGGGUAUGGCUGUUCGCCAUUUAAAGUGGUACGCGAGCUGGGUUUAGAACGUCGUGAGACAGUUCGGUCCCUAUCUGCCGUGGGCGCUGGAGAACUGAGGGGGGCUGCUCCUAGUACGAGAGGACCGGAGUGGACGCAUCACUGGUGUUCGGGUUGUCAUGCCAAUGGCACUGCCCGGUAGCUAAAUGCGGAAGAGAUAAGUGCUGAAAGCAUCUAAGCACGAAACUUGCCCCGAGAUGAGUUCUCCCUGAGACUUAGAGUCUCCUGAAGGAACGUUGAAGACGACGACGUUGAUAGGCCGGGUGUGUAAGCGCAGCGAUGCGUUGAGCUAACCGGUACUAAUGAACCGUGAGGCUUAACCUU